ACGAUGAGUGCUAAGUGUUAGGGGUUUCCCCCUUAGUGCUGCAGCUAACGCAUUAAGCACUCCGCCUGGGGAGUACGACCGCAAGGUUGAAACUCAAAGGAAUUGACGGGGGCCCGCACAGCGGUGGAGCAUGUGGUUUAAUUCGAAGCAACGCGAAGAACCUUACCAGGUCUUGACAUCCUUUGACCACUCUAGAGAUAGAGCUUUCCCUUCGGGGACAAAGUGACAGGUGGUGCAUGGUGUCGUCAGCUCGUGUCGUGAGAUGUUGGGUUAAGUCCCGCAACGAGCGCAACCCUUAUUGUUAGUUGCCAUCAUUAAGUUGGGCACUCUAGCGAGACUGCCGGUGACAAACCGGAGGAAGGUGGGGAUGACGUCAAAUCAUCAUGCCCCUUAUGACCUGGGCUACACACGUGCUACAAUGGACAGUACAAUGAGCAGCGACACGGCGACGUGAAGCGAAUCUCAUAAAGCUGUUCUCAGUUCGGAUUGUAGGCUGCAACUCGCCUACAUGAAGCCGGAAUCGCUGGUAAUCGCGGAUCAGCACGCCGCGGUGAAUACGUUCCCGGGCCUUGUACACACCGCCCGUCACACCACGAAAGUUUGUAACACCCGAAGUCGGUGAGGUAACCGCAAGGAGCCAACCGCCUAAGGUGGGAUAGAUGAUUGGGGUGAAGUCGUAACAAGGUAACCAAGGGCGAAUUCUG
This 704-nucleotide ribosomal RNA is filed under the name uncultured Vagococcus sp. Its description in RNAcentral is "bacterial SSU rRNA". It matches the Rfam family "Bacterial small subunit ribosomal RNA", at positions 806 to 1515 of the family's 1533-position model. Lineage: Bacteria; Bacillati; Bacillota; Bacilli; Lactobacillales; Enterococcaceae. The record is from RNAcentral.